RNAcentral lists this small RNA (30 nucleotides) under Arabidopsis thaliana (thale cress). Its description in RNAcentral is "ATSL222710". Lineage: Eukaryota; Viridiplantae; Streptophyta; Magnoliopsida; Brassicales; Brassicaceae. The record is from RNAcentral.
AUUUACGUGUUCUUUGUCCUUGCUUGCCAA